Molecule: long non-coding RNA, 1399 nt
Organism: Ananas comosus (pineapple)
Lineage: Eukaryota; Viridiplantae; Streptophyta; Magnoliopsida; Poales; Bromeliaceae
Exons: 4
Source: RefSeq, a predicted model, not a curated record
AUAUGGGCAUGGGACCAUAUACACCCGAUCGAGUUGGAGCUCCACCGGAUCUCCAUGAUUGUCCAUUGGGUUGUCGGUGGAACAUGGGAUUGCGAUUUCGUGGAAAUGUCAGGGCGACUGACAUUGAGUUUUAUCGCGAUGAACUAGAUCAGCAGAAGGAGUCACAAGUUACAUGGAUGCCCUAUACAGAGGAUGUUUUGAACUGUCUUCCUGCAUUGUCUCGAGGGCUCUGCAGUCUGGCGUUCGAGAACUUGUUUAAUAUGCUAUCAUAUUGUCGAGCUACAUAUACCUGAUCGAGUUCUGCGUCAGUUUGGAUUGCUGCAGCAUAUACCGGAGCCCGUAGAAGCUAUACAGAGGAUCACCUCGCAGGGUAGAUCAAGCAAGGACUGGGCAGUAUUUCAUGCUCCAUAUAUUCAACAUUGGGCAGAUCGUCUGAAGCAUAUUGCAGAGCAAAGUCCUUUCAUCGAUUCAGAUCCGAUACGAGCCACCUCUGUGUACAUGCAGUGGUAUUGGGGGAUCACAAGGAGGUGGAUUUCUCGUCCUGUACAGCAGCCUCCACUUACUUUUCUGCCGCGUGGGAAUGUCAAGAGACGAUUAGUAAGAUUAUUUUAUUUUAUAGUUUAUUUCAAUAUAAGGAUAUUCAUUAUAUAUAAUCAUGUAUGUUUAUACAGGUGUAUGCUAUGCGGCAUGCUUUUAGCAGUAUUGGUCAUUUGAUGGAUGAUCCUCCGGAGCCCACUAGAAUGAUGGAUGCUCUAGCACAUGUGAGAUGGGAUCUCGAGAGUGUUAGAAAGCCUACCGACAUUACCCGUGACAGGGCAUUCAGAUGUUUCUUCUCCGACUUUUGGUGAUUACGAUGAUAUUCCCUCCACGUCAACGCCUGCAUAUGAUUUCGGUGAUAUUCCCUCCACCUCGAUGCCUGCAUAUGAUUUCGAUGAUAUUCCCUCCACCUCGAUCCCUGCGUAUGAUUUUCCAUCGACAUCUAUCCCAAUUCAUCCAUUUGAUGUCCCUUCGACUUCUGAUGUCCCUUCGACAUCAGAAGUGCAGUUUGAUAUUCCGUCGGCAUCCAUCCCUCCAUUUGAUAUUCCAUCUACGUCAGAGGUUCGUCGUGAUGAUGUUGUAUAUCGACAUAGACGACAAUGACAGGGUCAUAUUGAGACGCAGGAAGGGAUACUACCAUCAGCUGUUGAGCAAGGGAUGGUGCCGAUUGUCGAGGGCAUCGCCAUCGAGCAUAUUGAUCAGAUGGAUGUCAUUGAGCCCGUGCAGCCUGAGAUGGAGCAUGACAUACAUAUUCGAGGACGGAGUCGAGGACGCGGUCGUAGACGCGGACGUGGACGUGGCAGGGGACGAGGGCAAGAGCAUAGGAGGGGGAUGGAGGGGACUUGAUUUUUUUUUUUUAUCA